UACGAAGGGGGCUAGCGUUGCUCGGAAUCACUGGGCGUAAAGCGCACGUAGGCGGAUUGCUAAGUCAGGGGUGAAAUCCUGGAGCUCAACUCCAGAACUGCCUUUGAUACUGGCGACCUUGAGUCCGGGAGAGGUGAGUGGAACUCCGAGUGUAGAGGUGAAAUUCGUAGAUAUUCGGAAGAACACCAGUGGCGAAGGCGGCUCACUGGCCCGGUACUGACGCUGAGGUGCGAAAGCGUGGGGAGCAAACAGG
RNAcentral lists this ribosomal RNA (253 nucleotides) under uncultured bacterium. Its description in RNAcentral is "partial 16S ribosomal RNA". It matches the Rfam family "Bacterial small subunit ribosomal RNA", at positions 524 to 776 of the family's 1533-position model. The record is from RNAcentral.